Phoenix dactylifera (date palm) is the source of this 290-nucleotide non-coding RNA. NCBI's taxonomy places the organism in Eukaryota, Viridiplantae, Streptophyta, Magnoliopsida, Arecales, Arecaceae. The record is from RefSeq and is a predicted model, not a curated record.
UAACACAGCUGAAAUUUCAAAUCUUUACAGAUUCAAGGACGACACAAAGCAGGACUAGUAACGAGGAAGAUCAAGAUCAAAUUUUUGGAUUCCCGGAGUGAACGAACUCCGGCCAUGCAUAAACAUGGAUGGGUUGGGCGCGGAGCGCGAGUAUCAAAGUCAUUAGCUAGUUAGUUAGUUUAUCUUUCUUUGAUGUCGAUGAACAUUUGAAGAUCUUGUAAUUGACCCAAAUUGAUUAUUUGGACAUGUUGGAUUUGUCAAUUUGAAUUAAUUAAUUAGUUGUGGAUUUA